UACGGGGGGGGCAAGCGUUGUUCGGAAUUCCUGGGCGUAAAGGGCUCGUAGGCGGCCAACUAAGUCCGACGUGAAAUCCCCAGGCUUAACCUGGGAACUGCGUCGGAUACUGGAUGGCUUGAAUUCGGGAGAGGGAUGCAGAAUUCCAGGUGUAGCGGUGAAAUGCGUAGAUAUCUGGAGGAACACCGGUGGCGAAGGCGGCAUCCUGGACCAUUACUGACACUGAAAAGCGAAAGCCAGGGGAGCAAACGGG
This 253-nucleotide ribosomal RNA is filed under the name uncultured bacterium. RNAcentral's name for it is "partial 16S ribosomal RNA". It matches the Rfam family "Bacterial small subunit ribosomal RNA", at positions 524 to 776 of the family's 1533-position model. The record is from RNAcentral.